UACAGAGGGUGCAAGCGUUAAUCGGAAUUACUGGGCGUAAAGCGUGCGUAGACGGUUAUGCAAGUCGGGUGUGAAAGCCCCGGGCUCAACCUGGGAAUGCCAUUCGAGACUGCAUAGCUAGGGUGCGGAAGAGGGAAGCGGAAUUUCCGGUGUAGCGGUGAAAUGCGUAGAUAUCGGAAGGAACACCAGUGGCGAAAGCGGCUUCCUGGUCCAGCACUGACGUUCAGGCACGAAAGCGUGGGGAGCAAACAGG
Molecule: ribosomal RNA, 253 nt
Filed under: uncultured bacterium
Lineage: Bacteria
Description: partial 16S ribosomal RNA
Rfam family: Bacterial small subunit ribosomal RNA
Source: RNAcentral